RNAcentral lists this long non-coding RNA (541 nucleotides) under Rattus norvegicus (Norway rat). RNAcentral describes it as "long non-coding RNA NONRATT012598". The record is from RNAcentral. Lineage: Eukaryota; Metazoa; Chordata; Mammalia; Rodentia; Muridae.
GCCUUUUCCAACCUGUCUGCUUUUGUCUUUUCCUUCCCCCACUAUGCUUGAAAGACGAACUGUCUGUCACAUUUUUUCAAAGUUUUCUCCUUACUAACCUGGGAAAGGUAACUGAGCCGGUGCAUGUCCCCCUGUUUCCUCCUGCGUCUGAGUCCUCGAGUCUCAGCCAAAGGGCGUCUUAGCUUGUGUACAGUUGCCCCUUGUGGAGUACGUGGCCCAUGUGUCAGUCUUUCAAGCAGUGUCAUUGAUGUGGGGUCCUUUCCCGUGUGUGUGUGUCUGUCUCUGUGUGUCCUGAGCCACAGGCCCUCUGAGGAAAUAAGGUGGCCGUGCUGCUCCGCCCCAUGUGGCUCUUCAUUGUUUAUGGUCGCUUGGCCUUUGCCUGUGGUGCAGCAGGGGACGUCGUCACCCUUCCCCUUUGUGACCCUACAACAUGGCUGGGACGAUCAAUGUGCAUGACCUAGGGCAUUACCAGAAGGACUCCUAUUUAACACAGGAUACUGUCGCCUGGGUCCCCCAAGUAGAAUUCAGUUAUGAGUGGUGA